Molecule: ribosomal RNA, 467 nt
Filed under: uncultured bacterium
Lineage: Bacteria
Description: partial 16S ribosomal RNA
Rfam family: Bacterial small subunit ribosomal RNA
Source: RNAcentral
ACGCACGCUGGCGGCGUGCUUAACCCAUGCAAGUCGAACGGAAAGGCCCUGCUUUUGUGGGGUUCUCGAGUGGCGAACGGGUGAGUAACACGUGAGUAACCUGCCCUUGACUUUGGGAUAACUUCCGGAAACUGGGGCUAAUACCGGAUAGGAGCUCCUGCUGCAUGGUGGGGGUUGGAAAGUUUCGGCGGUUGGGGAUGGACUCGCGGCUUAUCAGCUUGUUGGUGGGGUAGUGGCUUACCAAGGCUUUGACGGGUAGCCGGCCUGAGAGGGUGACCGGCCACAUUGGGACUGAGAUACGGCCCAGACUCCUACGGGAGGCAGCAGUGGGGAAUAUUGCACAAUGGGCGGAAGCCUGAUGCAGCAACGCCGCGUGCGGGAUGACGGCCUUCGGGUUGUAAACCGCUUUCGCCUGUGACGAAGCGUGAGUGACGGUAAUGGGUAAAGAAGCACCGGCUAACUACGUG